This 252-nucleotide ribosomal RNA is filed under the name uncultured prokaryote. Its description in RNAcentral is "partial 16S ribosomal RNA". It matches the Rfam family "Bacterial small subunit ribosomal RNA", at positions 525 to 775 of the family's 1533-position model. The record is from RNAcentral.
ACGGGGGGGGCGAGCGUUGUUCGGAAUUACUGGGCGUAAAGAGCACGUAGGCGGCCUUGCAAGUCAGUUGUGAAAGCCUUCCGCUUAACGGAAGAACGGCAUCUGACACUACAGGGCUUGAGUACGGGAGUGGAGAGUGGAACUUCUGGUGGAGCGGUGAAAUGCGUAGAUAUCAGAAGGAACGCCGGCAGCGAAAGCGACCCUCUGGUCCGAAACUGACGCUGAGUGUGCGAAAGCUAGGGGAGCAAACGG